This 451-nucleotide ribosomal RNA is filed under the name uncultured bacterium. RNAcentral describes it as "partial 16S ribosomal RNA". It matches the Rfam family "Bacterial small subunit ribosomal RNA", at positions 29 to 523 of the family's 1533-position model. The record is from RNAcentral.
AGCGAACGCUGGCGGCAGGCCUAACACAUGCAAGUCGAGCGCCCCCGCAAGGGGGAGCGGCGGACGGGUGAGUAACGCGUGGGAAUUUUCCUCAAGGUACGGAACAACUCAGGGAAACUUGGGCUAAUACCGUAUGAUGUCUAGCGACCAAAGAUUUAUCGCCUUGGGAUAAGCCCGCGUCAGAUUAGGUAGUUGGUGGGGUAACGGCCUACCAAGCCUGCGAUCUGUAGCUGGUCUGAGAGGACGAUCAGCCACAUUGGGACUGAGACACGGCCCAAACUCCUACGGGAGGCAGCAGUGGGGAAUCUUGCGCAAUGGGCGAAAGCCUGACGCAGCCAUGCCGCGUGAAUGAUGAAGGUCUUAGGAUUGUAAACCUCUUUUCUCAAGGAAGAAGUUCUGACGGUACUUGAGGAAUCAGCCUCGGCUAACUCCGUGCCAGCAGCCGCGGUAA